This 377-nucleotide long non-coding RNA is filed under the name Brassica napus (rape). RNAcentral's name for it is "long non-coding RNA (BNAP_LNC018694)". The record is from RNAcentral. Lineage: Eukaryota; Viridiplantae; Streptophyta; Magnoliopsida; Brassicales; Brassicaceae.
UGAGGGGGAGAAUGUUGGAUCAAGCUUAAAAUAACUUGAGUAAUAAGUUAUCUAUUUCCUACCGAGUUAUGGAAUAGGAAAUAGGAAAUAGGAAAGUCCUUAAGUGUUUAGGAGUUAUCUAAACAUUAUUAUCUAGUGUGUUUAAGAUUUUAUAUUCUUAUAUAUGGAGAUGUCAAAGUGUGACAUAACAUAAGGAUUUUUGUGACUGAGAGAGCUUAAGGUUUUGAGUGAGUUUCCUUAAGAGAUUAGUAAAAGAGUGAUUCUUAUUAAGUGUGUUCUUGAGAUCGUGUUUCAAUAUCAUCGUAUCCAGGUGGAAUCUGUUUUAAUAUUACGUAUGAAGGUCUACCAUUUACACUAUGAGUAUGAUUGGGAAACAC